Molecule: non-coding RNA, 3972 nt
Organism: Equus caballus (horse)
Lineage: Eukaryota; Metazoa; Chordata; Mammalia; Perissodactyla; Equidae
Source: RefSeq, a predicted model, not a curated record
CAUGCAGGCUGGUGCCUCCUCUGCCUGCCCCAUGCUGCCUUCCAGCCCCUCCUCCCUCCACCCAGAUCCUCCACAGCCCCCGUCUCCUCUGUUCUGCUGAUGCCCACACUGUACCCCAGGGACACCUGCCCCAGCAUAGCUGCCUCCUGGUGCACACCCACCUUGUCCAAGAGAACACUCUCCCUCGCCCAGGGGGGCCUCUUUUCAUCCAGUGAGGCCAUGAUGUCCCCAGUGCCAAAGCUGGACCUGGGUCCAGACCUCCCUGCCCCUCCCUCCAGUCCAUUCCAUCUGUGACAGUUUCCCUGCUGCCCCCGCUGUCCCUGUGAUCUUCCUGUGGGUCCCCAGGUGUGCUCCAUGCAGAGGCCAGGCUGAGCUUUCACAAGUGACACCAUCAGACCUGCCAGCCCUUGUUUUCCACCCUUGGAGGCUCUCUUUCCAUGAUGGUGGCCACCAAGUCCCUUAGCCCUUCCUGUCACCCUGGUGCUGUGUUCUUCCUGCUGCCUCUGAGCCAGGGGCCUGGUCAGCAACAUCCACCCGCCGCCUAGCAGAGUCAUGUCUGUUCCAGUGCCUGACACUUGAGGGUGCUUCCUCUCCAGGGUCUGGGACUCUCAGAGAGCUCACCCCCGCCCUCUCCUGGCUGAUGCCCAGAACUCUGUGACCCUGUGCAGGCACUGAUGUCCCUGUUUACAGCAGAACAAAUGGGAAGGGAGUGGCCUGUGGUCCCUUGGCCAGUGUGUGGGGUCCCACUUCUGUACAGGCCCCUCUGAGGGUCCCGCCCUUUGUGUGCCACACCCAGCACCUCCACCCUGGCAUGAGCUCACCCUCCCAGAGUCCCUCCAGCUUCCUUAUUCUGUCCUCUGAAUUGGACCAGAGGAGCUGGGCCUUGAAGAUUCACUUCUGCCCCCCCCAGGGACAGAACUGUCAGGAGGGAAGGAGUCUCGCUCUGCCUUGGGAGACAGCCCUGCACCCCUGUCUGGCCGGGGGGCUGCUUGCCCUCCCCCUCUGACCACCUCCUUUUAUCUGCACCCUCCAGCUUUCCCAUGUGCCCCAAACUCAGGGAACCUGGGGGUUAAACAGGGGAGGGGUGUGUCCCUGGGGACUGCAGGGCUGGGUCAUGCAGGGGAGACACCUCCUGGGCCUGGACAGCUCUGCUCUCUCACCACCUCAGCCCCCUGCCAUGCCACUGGGGACUGGCUGGGGUGAUGAGGACUGUCCUGGAGGGGAGACGGGGAUGUACAGCCACGGUAACUGUGGGCCCCAUCUUCCAGUGCCUCCCCUGGGAUGGGGUUCAGGGGGCCGAACUGGGACCCUGAGUGACUUGCUUGUACAGGCCCAGUGGUGCCUUGCAUCUCUUCUUUCUGCCAGUGGCGUGCUGCCCACUCCCUCCCCAGGCCCUGUGGGGAUUGGAGGCCUGGACCUUGUCUCAUGUUUUCAAGGCAUAAAAAGGGGCAGUGUGUGAUCUUCAAUGGGACCUCCACGGGCCUGCUGCCCUGUGGAGAGUGACACUGUGCCUGUGUAAGUGUCCCUGACACCCAGGGCAGGGUCCCAGGACCAGCAGAGCCUGCCCCUUACCUCCCCCCACCUGCAGGAAGCCCCUGCUGGUCCAGGCUGAGAACUUCAUGCUGUUCAUUAAAAACACUGUCACCUUCAGCAGGUUCAACUUCUCCAAGUAAGCAUGGUGGGUCCUGGCUGGCCCUGAUCCUCCUUGUCACCUCCUGGCCCAAAGCCCAGCCCUACCCCCUCUCAGGUCUAAUGCCUUCGAGACCUGGGACAACACCUAUUUCAAGUGCUGCUCCUGUGACCUACACUUCAGCCCCUACUGCCCUGUGUUCCACAUUGGGGACCUCGUGGCCAUGAUUGGAGGGGUCUUUGAGGACCUGGCAUUGCUGGUGGGUCCAUGGGGUACAGGGUUGCAGGAGGGCCCACUUUCUCUCUCCCACUCUAGGGAACUGGGUAUAUUUAGAUGGAUUUCACAGGAAACCAUUGGAAAGUAAGUGGCAGAUAUCCAGACACUCACCCCUCAACAAUGCUGUCCUGAGAAUGAGGACCUUCCCCAGGUGACUGCUGUCCUCUCGUCAUACUCAGGAAAUGUAACAUUGGCAAAUAAAUCUAAUAUUUUAAUUUCCCCAGUAGUGGCAACAAUAGUCCUAAAUCUUUUUAUUUUCCAACCCAAGAUGCACUCAAGGCUGUUGCAUGUAUUGUUGUGUCUUUGAGGCUCCUAAGCAGACCUGUCCCAUUCUUCUGACCCUUCAUGUCACCUUGUCACCCUCAUGCAGACGUGCACACAGCCACCAGGCCUGGAGCUGACAUCAUGUGACGCACACUGGGCCCUCCUGGCCUGGCUUUGCUGGCCCCCCAGCCCUGUGCAACCAUGUGGGGCUGGACCAGCCCAUGCCCUGACCCCCUCCCCUCUGCACUCUCCCUGCCCUCCAUCUCUACCUGGAGCUCCUUCCUGAGCCCUGGGAAUCCAGCCUGAGGGGCUCCCAGCAGGAAGUCUUCCCUGGCUCCUGGGGGAGAUUGAGUGCCCCUCUCUGGACCCCACAGCAGCAGGCCUACCCCACCUCUCCCACCCCCACUGCUGGUGUCUGUUUAUUGACCCUUCUGUCCCCAUCCCCUCAGCAGGCAGGGAGCUUGUGAGAGGCAGGUCCCAGCUUGCUUGUCCCCUGUGUCCCCAGCAGUGACACAGGGCUGUGACCCAGGACUCAGGCUGGUGGUGGAUGGAGUCAGUGGAUGAGUAAGAUGAGGCCUGUGAGGGCCAGGCCCCCCAGGAGUGGGCAGCGCAGUCACUGGACCCUCUCCUGCCCCAGGACAGCCACUCCCCGGGGGGAGGCCUCAGGCAUGGAGGCCCGGAGCCUGCUCAGCUCUGUAGGGUCCGCUUUGACAUUCUGGUCACUGGGCAUGUAGGGGUCAGUCUGCGGAGGAUGUGGGCAGGCAGGGGUGGGGGUGGGAGGGGGUGACAGCCACAGGCAGAGAAACUCAGCCUAGAUCUCUCUCAGGCAGGGAAGUUUGGGCUCAUCCCCACAGCCCUCACUCUGGGCACUGGAGUGGCCCGGCUGGGUGUGGUGAGUCUGGCCAUCGUGGCUCCCUCUGGCUGCCGGCAAGCAUGUGUCCCAUGAGUGUACCCCUGUGCCCCCUGUGCAGACACUGAGUCUCAGUGUGAGGGCUGGGGAGGCGACGGGAUGGCAGGUUGGGGUCCUGGCCAUGGGUCUGCCCUGCCUCUCCCAGAUCACCUUCUGCUGUGACCUGCUGCUGUUGUACAUGGAUGGAGAAGCCCAUUUCUACUGGAGGACCAAGCAUGAGGAGGGGGCUGUGGGCCUGCCUGACCCUGUGCUACACUUUGGAGGUUGGUGGCUGGAGUCUCGACGUACUGUCCUCAUCUGCUGAUUGAAGCAGAGUGAGGAGCUCACUGUACAGCAGAGAUAACCACUUGCUUGAAGAAACUCUGGGGUACUUUUGAAAUUUCAUACUCCAUAUCAUCCUCAAUCAUCAGGGUCAAGCACAAACCAAUCUCCCCCUUAUGCCAGUUUACCAAACCCUGGCCACACUAAAUAAUCGGUCUGACUGUUGGCUAUGUCAACAGCCAGAGAGCACAGAAGAACCUGAACUGGUCUCUGUUCCUGCUGACGUGAACACCUGGUGGAUUAAGCACAGAAGAUGGAUGAACGACAGGGUAUGGUGUCCACGACAAGGAAGACGUCACUCUGUCUCUUCUCCUGCUUCUCCAGGGAUGUGAUGACCUUCAGGAAAAAACCUCUGCAGAUAUCUGUCACCAGGCGAAGAGAGAAAAGUAUACUCUGUAGUCUCAAGGACCACAACUCCUGAUGGUUAACACCUCAAGACCCCCCUUUUUCAGCCCAUUUGCCCUAUAUAAAGGCUUCAAAACUUUGUAGUUUUAAAAUAGUUCUUUAGGACAUGGAUCCCUUAUAUUCCCCCUUGCUGGCAAGCUGUAAUAAAAAGACCUUUUCUCUUUUA